GAUGAGAAGCUUCGACUAAGGUUCGAUUCGAGCGUCAGCGAGAAAGCGUUGCCGCAGGCAACGACCCGAAGGGCGAAGCGCGCAGCGCUGAGUCAUCCUUCCCCCACCACCA
Molecule: small RNA, 112 nt
Filed under: Salmonella enterica
Lineage: Bacteria; Pseudomonadati; Pseudomonadota; Gammaproteobacteria; Enterobacterales; Enterobacteriaceae
Also listed under: 4 other names
Description: partial RtT sRNA
Rfam family: RtT RNA
About the family: This family represents a bacterial cis-regulatory element known as RtT RNA. The exact function of RtT is unknown although it is thought that it may be involved in changing the cellular response in relation to amino acid starvation.
Source: RNAcentral